AUUGAACGCUGGCGGCAGGCUUAACACAUGCAAGUCGAGCGGGGUGAUGGUGCUUGCACUAUCACUUAGCGGCGGACGGGUGAGUAAUGCUUAGGAAUCUGCCUAUUAGUGGGGGACAACAUCUCGAAAGGGAUGCUAAUACCGCAUACGUCCUACGGGAGAAAGCAGGGGAUCACUUGUGACCUUGCGCUAAUAGAUGAGCCUAAGUCGGAUUAGCUAGUUGGUGGGGUAAAGGCCUACCAAGGCGACGAUCAGUAGCGGGUCUGAGAGGAUGAUCCGCCACACUGGGACUGAGACACGGCCCAGACUCCUACGGGAGGCAGCAGUGGGGAAGAUUGGACAAUGGGGGGAACCCUGAUCCAGCCAUGCCGCGUGUGUGAAGAAGGCCUUAUGGUUGUAAAGCACUUUAAGCGAGGAGGAGGCUCUUUUGGUUAAUACCCAAGAUGAGUGGACGUUACUCGCAGAAUAAGCACCGGCUAACUCUGUGCCAGCCGCCGCAGUAA
This 503-nucleotide ribosomal RNA is filed under the name uncultured bacterium. RNAcentral describes it as "partial 16S ribosomal RNA". It matches the Rfam family "Bacterial small subunit ribosomal RNA", at positions 30 to 523 of the family's 1533-position model. The record is from RNAcentral.